AAGACGAACCGUGCGAACGUUGUUCGGAAUCACUGGGCUUAAAGGGCGCGUAGGCGGGCUGUCAAGUCUGGGGUGAAAUCCCACGGCUCAACCGUGGAACGGCCUCAGAUACUGACGGCCUCGAGGAAGGUAGGGGCACGCGGAACUGUAGGUGGAGCGGUGAAAUGCGUUGAUAUCUACAGGAACUCCGGUGGCGAAAGCGGCGUGCUGGACCUUUUCUGACGCUGAGGCGCGAAAGCUAGGGGAGCAAACGGG
This 255-nucleotide ribosomal RNA is filed under the name uncultured prokaryote. RNAcentral describes it as "partial 16S ribosomal RNA". It matches the Rfam family "Bacterial small subunit ribosomal RNA", at positions 522 to 776 of the family's 1533-position model. The record is from RNAcentral.